AGUGGCGAACGGGUGAGUAACACGUUGGUGACCUGCCCCGAGGUGGGGAAUAACUGUGGGAAACCACGGCUAAUACCCCGGAUGUUAAAGAGUUUAGACAUCUUUAACUAAAGUUCCGGCGCCUCGGGAGGGGCCUGCGGGCUAUCAGCUUGUUGGUGGGGUAACGGCCUACCAAGGCUAAGACGGCUAGGGGGCGUGAGAGCGCGACCCCCCACAAUGGAACUGAGAAACGGUCCAUACUCCUACGGGAGGCAGCAGUGAGGAAUAUUGCACAAUGGGGGAAACCCUGAUGCAGCAACGCCGCGUGAACGAUGAAGGCCUUCGGGUUGUAAAGUUCUUUUCUGGGGGACGAUAGUGACGGUACCUCAGGAAUAAGUCCCGGCUAACUACGUGCCAGCAGCCGCGGUAAAACGUAGGGGGCGAGCGUUAUCCGGAUUUAUUGGGCGUAAAGCGCAAGUAGGCAGCGUUGUAAGUUGGACGUGAAAGCUCCCGGCUCAACUGGGAGAGGUCGUUCAAAACUACAGUGCUCGAGGUUGGAAGAGGAGAGUAGAGUUCCCGGUGUAGUGGUGGAAUGCGUAGAUAUCGGGAGGAAUACCAGUGGCGAAAGCGACUCUCUGGUCCACACCUGACGCUGAGGUGCGAAAGCGUGGGUAGCGAACGGGAUUAGAUACCCCCGGUAGUCCACGCCGUAAACGAUGGAUACUAAGUGUAGGGGGUCACUGAAUCCCUCUG
RNAcentral lists this ribosomal RNA (732 nucleotides) under uncultured organism. RNAcentral's name for it is "bacterial SSU rRNA". It matches the Rfam family "Bacterial small subunit ribosomal RNA", at positions 94 to 843 of the family's 1533-position model. The record is from RNAcentral.